ACGUGUCAAACUACCAAGUUUACUGGGUAGUUUUGGAUGGUGAGGGAUGCUGGAUGUAAUGAUCAGCUCCUUUCAAAUACAUUAGCUUGGAAUGUAAAAGCCAUUAAAGCUUGAGCUGAUAUGAAUACUCUGUAUUAACUGCUUUUGCUGAAGUGUUGCUGAAUUCAAGCUUAGAGUUGUCUCGAAUGAGACUGUCUUUAGACAUAGUCUUGA
This 213-nucleotide unclassified non-coding RNA is filed under the name uncultured Camarophyllopsis. Its description in RNAcentral is "sequence contains ITS2". Lineage: Eukaryota; Fungi; Basidiomycota; Agaricomycetes; Agaricales; Tricholomataceae. The record is from RNAcentral.